GGCCAUUGCUAUCAGGGUUUGACUAAGCCAUGCGAGUCGAGAGGGUUCGGCCCUCGGCAUACUGCUCAGUAACACGUGGUUAACCUGCCCUAAGGUGGUGAAUACUCCCGGGAAACUGGGGCUAAUGCACCAUAGUGGAUACUUGCUGGAAUGCUGUAUCCUCGAAAGAUCCGUCGCCUUAGGAUGGGACUGCGUCCGAUUAGGUAGUUGGUGGGGUAACGGCCCACCAAGCCUGUCAUCGGUACGGGUUGUGGGAGCAAGAUCCCGGAGAUGGAUUCUGAGACAUGAAUCCAGGCCCUACGGGGCGCAGCAGGCGCGCAAACUUUACAAUGCGAGCAAUCGUGAUAAGGAAACCCUGAGUGCCUGUUGAUGCAGGCUGUUCAUCUGUUUAAAUUGCAGGUGAAGAAAGGGCAGGGCAAGACCGGUGCCAGCCGCCGCGGUAAUACCGGCUGCUCGAGUGAUGGCCACUAUUACUGGGUUUAAAGCGUCCGUAGCUUGACUGAUAGGUCUCUUGGGAAAUCUUAACGCUUAACGUUAAGGCGUCUAAGAGAUACCGUCAGUCUUGGAACUGGGAGAGGUAAACCGUACUUCGGGGGUAGGAGUGAAAUCUUGUAAUCCUCGAGGGACGACCUAUGGCGAAGGCAGUUUACCAGAACAGCUUCGACAGUGAGGGACGAAAGCUGGGGGAGCAAACGGGAUUAGAUACCCCGGUAGUCCCAGCCGUAAACAAUGUGCGUUAGGUGUAUCGGUAACCACGCGUUACUGAUGCGCCGCAGAGAAAUCGUGAAACGCACCACCUGGGAAGUACGGUCGCAAGGCUGAAACUUAAAGGAAUUGGCGGGGGAGCACCACAACAGGUGGAGCCUGCGGUUUAAUUGGAUUCAACGCCGGACAUCUCACCGGGUAAGACAGCUGAAUGAUUGUCAAUCUGAAGGUUUUACAUGACUAGCUGAGAGGAGGUGCAUGGCCGUCGUCAGUUCGUACUGUGAAGCAUCCUGUUAAGUCAGGCAACGAGCGAGACCCACGCCAACAAUUGCCAGCAUCAUCUCCGGAUGGAUGGGGACAUUGU
This 1069-nucleotide ribosomal RNA is filed under the name uncultured archaeon. RNAcentral's name for it is "bacterial SSU rRNA". It matches the Rfam family "Archaeal small subunit ribosomal RNA", at positions 22 to 1099 of the family's 1478-position model. The record is from RNAcentral.